This 219-nucleotide small RNA is filed under the name Pseudomonas sp. GV071. RNAcentral describes it as "Pseudomonas sRNA P29". The record is from RNAcentral. Lineage: Bacteria; Pseudomonadati; Pseudomonadota; Gammaproteobacteria; Pseudomonadales; Pseudomonadaceae.
AAGCUACUGGGGGAGCCGAAGCUCCCCCCCAAGUAGGUGCGUGCUUUAUUUUUAUUAUUAUGUCGGGCUUGUUGUUUUUGUUUGUUGACCCGUUCCGUCGGCCUAGUGGCUUCAGGAAAAACCUCCAAUUCGGAGGUUAAUAGACAACGGAUUGCUUUGGAUGCUGAUGUAGCCAUGAUCUUGCGAUCCAACCAGUUCGGGCUCUGCCUAGUAGCAGUU